This 439-nucleotide ribosomal RNA is filed under the name uncultured bacterium. Its description in RNAcentral is "partial 16S ribosomal RNA". It matches the Rfam family "Bacterial small subunit ribosomal RNA", at positions 339 to 795 of the family's 1533-position model. The record is from RNAcentral.
CUACGGGGCGCACCAGUGGGGAAUAUUGCACAAUGGGGGGAACCCUGAUGCAGCAACGCCGCGUGGAGGAUGACGCAUUUCGGUGUGUAAACUCCUUUUAUAUGUCAAGAAAAUGACGGUAGCAUAUGAAUAAGCACCGGCUAACUCCGUGCCAGCAGCCGCGGUAAUACGGAGGGUGCAAGCGUUACUCGGAAUCACUGGGCGUAAAGGACGCGUAGGCGGGUUGGAAAGUCAGGUGUGAAAUCCUACAGCUUAGCUGGAGAACUGCACUUGAAACUUCUAAUCUAGAGUAUGGGAGGGGGAGAUGGAAUUAGUGGUGUAGGGGUAAAAUCCGUAGAUAUCACUAGGAAUACCUAAAGCGAAGGCGAUCUCCUGGAACAUUACUGACGCUAAGGCGUGAAAGCGUGGGGAGCAAACAGGAUUAGAUACCCGCGUAGUC